This 500-nucleotide ribosomal RNA is filed under the name uncultured bacterium. Its description in RNAcentral is "partial 16S ribosomal RNA". It matches the Rfam family "Bacterial small subunit ribosomal RNA", at positions 30 to 523 of the family's 1533-position model. The record is from RNAcentral.
AUUGAACGCUGGCGGCAUGCUUUACACAUGCAAGUCGAACGGUAACAGGGUGCUUGCACCGCUGACGAGUGGCGAACGGGUGAGUAAUGCGUCGGAACGUGCCGAGUAGUGGGGGAUAACGCAGCGAAAGUUGUGCUAAUACCGCAUACGUACUGAGGUAGAAAGUGGGGGACCUUCGGGCCUCACGCUAUUCGAGCGGCCGACGUCUGAUUAGCUAGUAGGUGAGGUAAAGGCUCACCUAGGCGACGAUCAGUGGCGGGUCUGAGAGGAUGAUCCGCCACACUGGGACUGAGGCACGGCCCAGACUCCUACGGGAGGCAGCAGUGGGGAAUUUUGGACAAUGGGCGAAAGCCUGAUCCAGCCAUGCCGCGUGUCUGAAGAAGGCCUUCGGGUUGUAAAGGACUUUUGUCAGGGAGGAAAUCCCUAGUGCUAAUAACACUGGGGGAUGACAGUACCUGAAGAAUAAGCACCGGCUAACUACGUGCCAGCCGCCGCGGUAA